AUUAAAAAAACCCUGUGGCGUAGCGAGUGAUCGGGAGAAGGGGUCUGUCAAUCUCAGUGCGACGCCAAAUAGUCUCCAAGACAAACAAGACUUCCCGGAAUUUUUUUUAUAGAUACGUUAUCUUUAUUUUAAAUCCUAACCUGCUCCCCUAUUUAUCCCAAAAACCUGCACCAUAUUUGGGUGAAGUGUUAUUAUGAAGUGAGUAUUAGUAAUAUUGGGCAUUUUGAGGUAGGUACAACAUUAUAUUAUUAUUACUAAAUCCCCAUGGAGGAGUCCACAUUACUAAAUCCCCAUGGAGGAGUCCACUAAGGCAGAAUCAGCAUUUAAAGGAACUUUUUCGUCUUUUUCUCUCUUCCCAAAAACCUCUCUUAUAUUAAUUUUGUUUCUUCUUCCUAUCUUCUGCCCACCACGGAGGGUGGCCGCAAAAUGGAAGAAAAGUGUGCGCCAGUGGUGUUGUGUCCCAGGUACAGAGGCUGCGGGAGGGCGGCACUAAUAAAGUACCAUGGGAGGGAGGACAGAUAUUGUGCCAAUACAGUGUCGUGUCCUGUUUUCGGACGGUAGGGAGUAUGUUAAUAAAUGACGAGCAGGGGAACAGGUUGGUUUAUAGUGUCAUGCCCCAGAUGAGGAGGCAAACAGAGGGCGGGUGGCUGUCAAUGAAGUGUCAUGUCCGGGAUGCCAGAGGAGUGAGGUGCCAGUACACUGUCGUGCCCUUAGCGACAGAUCCGUUCGCUAUGACACUGUGUACUUUAACAUCCCUCCCCCCUUCUGCUUACUUCAAUAUCAUUCACUAUUCUGCAAAUCAGCUAUUUGCGCCAUCUCAAGCGUUCAGCACUGACUACAGAUAUGUGUGGCUUACAGGACACAGAAAAGUUGGGAGUUGCCUCAGGGCU
RNAcentral lists this long non-coding RNA (890 nucleotides) under Locusta migratoria (migratory locust). Its description in RNAcentral is "partial Lnc3934". Lineage: Eukaryota; Metazoa; Arthropoda; Insecta; Orthoptera; Acrididae. The record is from RNAcentral.